CCUACGGGAGGCAGCAGUGGGGGAUAUUGCACAAUGGGGGGAACCCUGAUGCAGCGACGCCGCGUGUGGGAAGACGGUCCUCUGGAUUGUAAACCACUGUCCCCAGGGACGAAACUGACGGUACCGGGUGAGGAAGCUCCGGCUAACUACGUGCCAGCAGCCGCGGUAAUACGUAGGGAGCGGGCGUUGUCCGGAAUUACUGGGGGAAAGGGGAGCGUAGGCGGGGAUGCAAGUUGAGUGUCAAAACUACCGGUUCAACUGGUAGUCGCACUCAAAACUGCAGCUUUUGAGUGAAGUAGAGGCAGGCGGAAUUCCUGGUGUAGCGGUGAAAUGCGUAGAUAUUAGAAGGAACACCAGUGGCGAAGGCGGCCUGCUGGGCUUUUACUGACGCUGAGGCUCGAAAGUGUGGGGAGCAAACAGGAUUAGAUACCCCAGUAGUC
RNAcentral lists this ribosomal RNA (440 nucleotides) under uncultured bacterium. RNAcentral's name for it is "partial 16S ribosomal RNA". It matches the Rfam family "Bacterial small subunit ribosomal RNA", at positions 338 to 795 of the family's 1533-position model. The record is from RNAcentral.